UGGGGAAUAUUGGACAAUGGGCGAAAGCCUGAUCCAGCCAUGCCGCGUGUGUGAAGAAGGUCUUCGGAUUGUAAAGCACUUUAAGUUGGGAGGCAGGGCAGUAAGCGAAUACCUUGCUGUUUUGACGUUACCGACAGAAUAAGCACCGGCUAACUCUGUGCCAGCAGCCGCGGUAAUACAGAGGGUGCAAGCGUUAAUCGGAAUUACUGGGCGUAAAGCGCGCGUAGGUGGUUCGUUAAGUUGAAUGUGAAAGCCCCGGGCUCAACCUGGGAACUGCAUCCAAAACUGGCGAGCUAGAGUAGGGCAGAGGGUGGUGGAAUUUCCUGUGUAGCGGUGAAAUGCGUAGAUAUAGGAAGGAACACCAGUGGCGAAGGCGACCACCUGGGCUCAUACUGACACUGAGGUGCGAAAGCGUGGGGAGCAAACAGG
Molecule: ribosomal RNA, 429 nt
Filed under: Pseudomonadota bacterium
Lineage: Bacteria; Pseudomonadati; Pseudomonadota
Description: Proteobacteria bacterium partial 16S ribosomal RNA
Rfam family: Bacterial small subunit ribosomal RNA
Source: RNAcentral